UGGGCAUCAAGAAAAUCUUCAGUGCGGAGGCUGACCUGUCAGGAAUCACAGAUACAACACCCUUGUGUGUUUCCCAGGUGGCCCACAGCGCCGUGCUGGACGUGGAUGAGGAGGGCACGGAAGGAGCCGCGUCCACAGGAGUCGUCAUAGAAAGGAAGUCCUUUGAGAAUUUCAUUGUGCGAUUUGACAGCCCCUUUCUGUUCGCCACGGUCCUCAGAGACACCCAGAGCAUCAUCUUUCUGGGCAAAGUCGUCAACCCCCGUCCAGCCUAGAGCUCCCCUCUGAGCCGUGGGGCUUCUCUCUAAGGAGCUGGGUGCUCUGGGCCCUGGGGCAGCCUGGCCUCCCGCUGACCCUUGGAAGGUGACAGUCACCUUCUGGUGGCUCCACACACACAGGGGUCUGUGCCCUGCUCCGGGGAGGCUCUGAGACCUCCCACAGCAAUAAAGCAUCUUUCUGAACUGG
This 462-nucleotide long non-coding RNA is filed under the name Sus scrofa (pig). RNAcentral's name for it is "lncRNA (ENSSSCG00035012554.1)". The record is from RNAcentral. Lineage: Eukaryota; Metazoa; Chordata; Mammalia; Artiodactyla; Suidae.